UAUUUGAAUAAUAAUCAUUAUAGCUUCAAUGUUUUUAAGCAUAUAAAUCAUAAUUUUAAUGUUUUUAAGAAUGUUUAAUUUGUGCAAAAGCUGCAAGGGUAUAUGAAGUUUGCUUCCUUUCUUGUUAUUGUCAUUCUUAUGAGAAGUUUGCCACUUCUAAAAAACUUUUUCACUUUUUGCCGAGCUAUUAGACAAGCAUGUUGUCGAGCGGACGUGCUCUUGAAAUUGUUGACGAAAUAUAUUAAUAUGGAAGUGUUAAAAUCAUUGACUGAAAAAACUGGAUGUGCUGUGUUCUCGACAUUUCCUAUUACCAAAAUUUGGUCAUGCGAGUCUCAUAAGUAUAUUGGUGUACUUUCUGUAACAGAUAACUUUCCCAAAAGGCGUUGAUAUAAUUAAUGGAAGAAAUAGAAGGAUUGACCUAAAAGUCAAGCAAAUUUGGUAUACAACAUAUACAAGUACAUACAACGAAAAUGGACACAAAAUUUUCUUAGCGACAGACCGCAGGGGCUCUUACCAGCAGGCCCCGGCGCUUCGUGUGCAUUCGGGGUUUUUUGCUCUUUCAUUCUUAUUCUCAUUUUUAUGCUCGCGGACUCAUUGCACGAGUUCGAUCGUUCAGUCGCAAAGAGGAGCAUUUUGAAGAAGGUUGCCCUGCAGAAGGUUUUCCUUAAGGGAAAGGCUAAGGAUGCCGAUGUACCCGAUUCCUUUCCGAUUGAAAGUGAGGAGGAGCUGGUGGCGUUAGAAGUUAAAAUAUGCUCGUCUACUAAAACCGCCUAUAUUGAGACCAUCACCGCAAUUCUUAGGCGAAAUAAUUUGCCUAGGUCUAUUAAAGGAGUUUUGGCAGAGCACCUUCUUUGCGACUUCAAUAUAGACGGAUUGAAUAUAAAAAAGGCCCCUAAGGGCUUUCCAGGAUUUUUUUCGUUAUAGUCGACAGCAUAUCUGCGUUGGGAGGCCAGCUGCCGGCGGAGAAGGCUCUUGCGCACGCCUUAUCUUGCGCAAAAAACAACGCAAACAAAAA
Long non-coding RNA from Drosophila gunungcola (fruit fly), 1015 nucleotides. RefSeq lists it as uncharacterized. NCBI's taxonomy places the organism in Eukaryota, Metazoa, Arthropoda, Insecta, Diptera, Drosophilidae. The record is from RefSeq and is a predicted model, not a curated record. The transcript is spliced from 3 exons.